UCUUUAAAAGACGCAGCACGGAUACAGAGAAUUUAAAUAACGGGCCCAAGAUUUAGGGGAUAAGCUUCAUCGUCAAGAGAGAAAUAGCUUGGAUCACCAGCUCAAAUUCCUAAACGACCGCUCAGUGAUAAAGGAGGUAGGGAUGCAGAGACAAUUAGGAAGUUUGCCAAGAAGCUACCUAUGAAAGAGUGCAUAAUAGCUCAUUGAUCCAACGCUCUUGCGUCGGAGAUGAACGGCCUAAGUAUGUCUGCAGAAACUGUGGGAUGUAAAAUACAUCAGUAAAGGA
RNAcentral lists this non-coding RNA (286 nucleotides) under Nicotiana sylvestris (wood tobacco). RNAcentral's name for it is "Bacterial large subunit ribosomal RNA". It matches the Rfam family "Bacterial large subunit ribosomal RNA", at positions 938 to 1235 of the family's 2925-position model. Lineage: Eukaryota; Viridiplantae; Streptophyta; Magnoliopsida; Solanales; Solanaceae. The record is from Rfam by way of RNAcentral.